UNUGACUUGAGUGCAGAAGGGGAGAGUGGAAUUCCAUGUGUAGCGGUGAAAUGCGUAGAUAUAUGGAGGAACACCAGUGGCGAAAGCGGCUCUCUGGUCUGUCACUGACGCUGAGGCUCGAAAGCGUGGGUAGCGAACAGGAUUAGAUACCCUGGUAGUNCACGCCGUAAACGAUGAGUGCUAGGUGUUAGGCCCUUUCCGGGGCUUAGUGCCGGAGCUAACGCAAUAAGCACUCCGCCUGGGGAGUACGACCGCAAGGUUGAAACUCAAAGGAAUUGACGGGGGCCCGCACAAGCGGUGGAGCAUGUGGUUUAAUUCGAAGCAACGCGAAGAACCUUACCAGGUCUUGACAUCCCGAUGCUAUUCUUAGAGAUAGGAAGUUACUUCGGUACAUCGGAGACAGGUAGUGCAUGGUUGUCGUCAGCUCGUGUCGUGAGAUGUUGGGUUAAGUCCCGCAACGAGCGCAACCCUUAUUGUUAGUUGCCAUCAUUAAGUUGGGCACUCUAGCGAGACUGCCGGUAAUAAACCGGAGGAAGGUGGGGAUGACGUCAAAUCAUCAUGCCCCUUAUGACCUGGGCUACACACGUGCUACAAUGGUCGGUACAACGAGUUGCGAGCCGGUGACGGCAAGCUAAUCUCUGAAAGCCGAUCUCAGUUCGGAUUGGAGGCUGCAACUCGCCUCCAUGAAGUCGGAAUCGCUAGUAAUCGCGGAUCAGCACGCCGCGGUGAAUACGUUCCCGGGCCUUGUACACACCGCCCGUCACACCACGAGAGUUUGUAACACCCGAAGUCGGUGAGGUAACCUUUUAGGGGC
RNAcentral lists this ribosomal RNA (814 nucleotides) under uncultured bacterium. Its description in RNAcentral is "bacterial SSU rRNA". It matches the Rfam family "Bacterial small subunit ribosomal RNA", at positions 636 to 1449 of the family's 1533-position model. The record is from RNAcentral.